AUGUACAUGCCUACAACAUAAUGUUAAUGCAAAAGAUCCCAUUAGAACUUCAUAGUUAAGAACUCUCUGGCUAGAGUAGUACUGGGAUGGGUGACCACCCAGGAAGUCCUGGUGUUUUACAUG
This is a non-coding RNA of Picea glauca (white spruce), 123 nucleotides long. Lineage: Eukaryota; Viridiplantae; Streptophyta; Pinopsida; Pinales; Pinaceae. The record is from Rfam.